Molecule: non-coding RNA, 311 nt
Organism: Pimephales promelas (fathead minnow)
Lineage: Eukaryota; Metazoa; Chordata; Actinopteri; Cypriniformes; Leuciscidae
Source: RefSeq, a predicted model, not a curated record
AUUACCAGGAGCUGCUUCACAACUCCAGUUUUUGCCUUGUUCCUCGAGGCAGGAGGCUUGGGUCCUUCCGCUUUCUAGAGGCCCUGCAGGCGGCCUGUAUUCCUGUGCUGCUGAGUAACGGAUGGGAGCUGCCCUUCUCAGAGGUCAUUGACUGGAGUAAAGCGGCUAUCAUUGGAGAUGAGAGAUUAUUGCUGCAGGUUCCAUCUAUCACCAGGUCUGUGAGUUCUGACAGAAUCCUGGCACUGCGGCAGCAGACACAGUUCCUGUGGGACGCCUACUUCUCCUCCGUCACAAAGAUAGUCUUAACCACA